This 441-nucleotide ribosomal RNA is filed under the name uncultured bacterium. Its description in RNAcentral is "partial 16S ribosomal RNA". It matches the Rfam family "Bacterial small subunit ribosomal RNA", at positions 338 to 795 of the family's 1533-position model. The record is from RNAcentral.
CCUACGGGAGGCAGCAGUGGGGAAUAUUGCACAAUGGGGGAAACCCUGAUGCAGCGACGCCGCGUGAGCGAGGAAGUAUUUCGGUAUGUAAAGCUCUAUCAGCAGGGACGAAAAAAGACGGUACCUGACUAAGAAGCCCCGGCUAACUACGUGCCAGCAGCCGCGGUAAUACGUAGGGGGCAAGCGUUAUCCGGAUUUACUGGGUGUAAAGGGAGCGUAGACGGCAAGGCAAGCCAGAAGUGAAAGGGCAGGGCUCAACCCUGUACAUGCUUUGGAAACUGUGUAACUGGAGUACAGGAGGGGCAGGCGGAAUGCCUGGUGUAGCGGUGAAAUGCGUAGAUAUCAGGAGGAACACCGGCGGCGAAGGCGGCCUGCUGGACUGAAACUGACGUUGAGGCUCGAAAGCGUGGGGAGCAAACAGGAUUAGAUACCCUGGUAGUC